This 1067-nucleotide long non-coding RNA is filed under the name Androctonus crassicauda. The record is from RNAcentral. Lineage: Eukaryota; Metazoa; Arthropoda; Arachnida; Scorpiones; Buthidae.
ACGAAAUAAAUGCAUGUGAAAGAUAUAAUAAACAAUUUUUGAAACCAUUGUUAAGAUUACUCAAAAAACUGAUGCUGCUCUCAUUGAUCCAGAAAGAAAAUGAUUGCGAUUCUCAGAUAUUUGAGAUUCUCCUAUAUGGCUCGUAGUGACAUGAAGUUUGCCACCAUAUCUUUAUAAAGCAUUGGAAAAUGCUAAAGAUAUUAUUGAUAUACUAAAAAGAGUCAUUUGUAGAUAAAAUGCUUCAGCGCUUGCAAAUUUCAAGCGAGAAUUAUUACUUCAUAGAGAAGAGAAAAUAUCUUUUGAGCAAACUAAAUGGUAAUCAGAGGGAAGAUGAGAAUAUAGAAGAUUCAGGAUUUAUUAGCAAUGAUGAUUCUCUUGAGCCAGAGAAAAGACAAUCUGAGACAAACGAAGAUAAUAGAUUCUUGAAAAGUGAUGAAAACAAUGCUUUACAGGAUGGAUUACAUGACUGAUCAGCCGACAUUUGCAAAAAUACGUGGCUAUUUUAGUCUGAUUGAUAUUAUGCACCAAUUAUAGUUGUUGAUGUUUUUGCUUUUAUAGAGGGUUUAUAAAAAAAAUAUAAGACUUAAUAUAUUCUCACUAGUAGCUGAGAAGAUUGGUAGUUAAUUUGAUGAUAUAGCCUUAUUUUUAUCAUAAAAUAUUAUUUGCAUACAUAUUUAAUUUAUAUAUAGAUAAAAAGCGUACAAUAAUAAUGAAUUUGUUGAAUUGUUAUCCAGAGGAAAGCGAAAAUGGGAGGGAAUUUUUUCCAUUCAUAAGUAAUUUCAUUCUUUUAUUCAAUCUGAGACAGAUGAUGUAAAGUAUCUUGUUAUAUAUACUAAUACAGGCUUAUAUCUUGUGGAAGAAAAGAAAUUAAGUAGAUCGAAAUGGAACUUAGAAUUCUCCCCUCUUAAAGUUGAUAGAAUAAAUAUUGAGGAAGAAAAAUAUAACAUUGUGAAAAACUGUUUAUAUACUAGGUGAUAGCACAAAGGAACAUUCUUUUUAUCAAUUUUCUCGGGAAAAACAACAAGAAAAGACUUUUAAAGCUAUUAGAUACCCUACCUUUUCUCUAG